GCCGGCGUGGCGGAAUUGGUAGACGCGCGUGAUUCAAAAUCAUGUUUCUUCGGAAGUAAGGGUUCGAGUCCCUUCGCCGGUA
RNAcentral lists this transfer RNA (82 nucleotides) under Oceaniferula marina. It matches the Rfam family "tRNA". From Rfam's summary of the family: Transfer RNA (tRNA) molecules are approximately 80 nucleotides in length. Their secondary structure includes four short double-helical elements and three loops (D, anti-codon, and T loops). The record is from Rfam by way of RNAcentral. Lineage: Bacteria; Pseudomonadati; Verrucomicrobiota; Verrucomicrobiia; Verrucomicrobiales; Verrucomicrobiaceae.